GCCCGGUUAGUUUAAUGGUUAAAAUAGCAAUCUCAUACGUUGUUUAUAUAAGUUCAAAUCUUAUACCAGGCU
Triticum urartu is the source of this 72-nucleotide non-coding RNA. Lineage: Eukaryota; Viridiplantae; Streptophyta; Magnoliopsida; Poales; Poaceae. The record is from Rfam.